AUGUUGAGCACAGGCAUGAGGCACCUUGGUCUCCGGUGUGACACAUGCCAGCCUCUGGCACUGCUCCUCUGCCUCUGGAAAGGGGCAGUGGGGCAAGAACCAACGCAGAGCCUGGCACUGGCAUCAUGCUGUGACCACACAGAGCUCAGACAUGGCUAUGGGCAGAAGUUGGGCUCCAGGUCUUGUUCCCCUUUCCCUCCUGCCCCAGUUCCUCUGGAAGGACCCUGGGACACCCCAAAGUGGCCCUGUGCCUCUGGGCUGCACCCUGGGACCAAGGUGCUGUACAUCUGCCAUGUUGCUUCCCAGCUGGAAUUUGUGGGUUUGUGGAUCAGGGAGUGCCUGGGGCCAGCUGGGUCAGUCUGGGGCUUUCAGGCUGCCAGGGCAUGCAGGGUACAGGCCCUGGCAGCUCCUGGCUGGGCUGGCCUGAUGCAAUUCCCUGUUUGCAGAACAUCAGCCUCCCCACGAGUGUCCCAGGGCAGCAGAAUCUUCCCUCAUCAUCUGCAGCUGGAUGGACCCUUGGGAGCCUGCUUGGCUGUGGAACGGGAUUCAGGGCACAGCCAUGGACACACUCCAGCCCUCCAUGCAUGGCCAUGGCCAGCUGGUGACAGACCUGGCUGUGCUUUGGCGUUUGGGUCCCAGGGAGCCCCAGGAUCACCAUGGGCAGCCCGAGGCAGCAGCAGUGCUGUGUGCUGGUGGCAGGGGUGGCAGGGGUGGUCACAGCACUGUCACUGCUGCUGGCUGGAGGUCACCGUGCCAGAGCAUUGUGGUGCACCUUGCUCACACCAGCGUGGGGGUGCUGAGGGUCCCCCGAAUCACCGGGUCUGGGGCCAAAGGGCUUCUCCAAGGAGCCACAGACUGGGGGAACACCAAACCAUUCCAUGUGAAAGCAGCUCUGGAGUGGGGCUGGGUUGGGUCACCCUCACCACAGAAAAAUCCCAACAAAAAAAGGAAAGGGCUCCCACCGGUUUUGUCCUCUCCACCACGUGCUCCCCAAGAGGGGAGAAUGGAGGUGCUGAGCUCCUCCCCGGGGCAAAACGCCCUCGGGUUUGCUGUUUCACAGGGGCUGCAAAGCCCCCUCAGGGCUGA
This 1086-nucleotide long non-coding RNA is filed under the name Zonotrichia albicollis (white-throated sparrow). Its description in RNAcentral is "lncRNA (ENSZALG00000001547.1)". Lineage: Eukaryota; Metazoa; Chordata; Aves; Passeriformes; Passerellidae. The record is from RNAcentral.